AAAAGCUGAAAGGAAUGAUGGGUGGACGAUGGAUAACUAAUCUUAUUUUAUAAAAUUUGAAAUUUUAUAUUUCGAAUGAUCAUAAAUUAGGAUUAGUCUACCCAUUUUUCUAUCCACUUUCUUGAGCGCUUCAUACGAGAAAGCUUAUUUCUGUACGGAUAAAAUGCGACUAAUCCUUCCAAAUUCAUUGGGAGGAUUUUUU
Molecule: small RNA, 202 nt
Filed under: Neobacillus jeddahensis
Lineage: Bacteria; Bacillati; Bacillota; Bacilli; Caryophanales; Bacillaceae
Description: Bacillus sRNA ncr1575
Rfam family: Bacillus sRNA ncr1575
Source: RNAcentral